RNAcentral lists this ribosomal RNA (23 nucleotides) under Schizophyllum commune. RNAcentral describes it as "partial 28S ribosomal RNA". Lineage: Eukaryota; Fungi; Basidiomycota; Agaricomycetes; Agaricales; Schizophyllaceae. The record is from RNAcentral.
UGACUUGACCUCAAAUCAGGUAG